RNAcentral lists this ribosomal RNA (550 nucleotides) under Isochrysis galbana. Its description in RNAcentral is "partial Bacterial large subunit ribosomal RNA". It matches the Rfam family "Bacterial large subunit ribosomal RNA", at positions 17 to 534 of the family's 2925-position model. Lineage: Eukaryota; Haptophyta; Isochrysidales; Isochrysidaceae. The record is from RNAcentral.
GCAUACGAUGGAUGCCUUGGUACUGUCGGGCGAUGAAGGUCGUGGCUACCUGCGAUAAGCCUCGGGGAGUUGGAAGCAAGCUUUGAUCCGGGGAUGACCGAAUGGGAAAACCCUCGGCGAUGAUAAGUCGUCGAACCGUUUUUUAACGGGGCUAGACUCAGGGAAUUGAAACAUCUUAGUACCUGAAGGAACAGAAAGUAAAUAACGAUUCCCUUAGUAGCGGCGAGCGAACGGGGAAUUAGCCUAAACCGAUGUCAUGUCAAGGCUGGGGCCGUUGUGGCAUCGGGGUUGUAGGAGUCACCUGGAUAUGCUCCAGAGUAUCCGAAGAGUUACAAAUGAUAUGAAUAGAGGAAGCAGCUGGGAAGUUGCCCCAUAGAGUGUGAGAGGCACGUACUUGAAAUUCAUAUCACUCUUGGUGACCACCUGAGUACCACGGAGCACGAGAAAUUCCGUGGGAAUCUGCGAGGACCAUCUCGCAAGGCUAAAUACCAGACAGUAACCGAUAGUGAACCAGUACCGUGAGGGAAAGGCGAAAAGCACCCCGACGAGG